GUACGACCCUUUGGUGUAUCGUUGUUGUUAGCUGGCUGGGAUGAAGACAGACCUUAUCUGUUUCACUGUGAUCCUUCGGGAGCGUACUUUGCUUGGAAAGCCACUGCAAUGGGAAAAAAUCACUUGAACGGACGAACAUUCUUAGAAAAAAGGUAUAAUGAUGAUCUGCAGUUAGAAGAUGCAAUACACACAGCUAUACUGACACUUAAGGUUAGAUACAGAGUGUUAUAAAUUCUAAAAAUAUGAAGUUCUACGCAUUUAAAUGAGUAUAACUUGAACGCAAUUGAAGCUGAGAUUUUACAAGUAUGCCCAGUCCUUUUACAAUUUUUUUUUUAAAAAAACAGCAGUUUUUUAUUCAGUUUU
Long non-coding RNA from Xenia sp. Carnegie-2017, 363 nucleotides. RefSeq lists it as uncharacterized. Lineage: Eukaryota; Metazoa; Cnidaria; Anthozoa; Malacalcyonacea; Xeniidae. The transcript has 3 exons. The record is from RefSeq and is a predicted model, not a curated record.